GACGAACGCUGGCGGCGUGCCUAAUACAUGCAAGUAGAACGCACAGUUUAUACCGUAGCUUGCUACACCAUAGACUGUGAGUUGCGAACGGGUGAGUAACGCGUAGGUAACCUGCCUGGUAGCGGGGGAUAACUAUUGGAAACGAUAGCUAAUACCGCAUAAUAUUAAUUAUUGCAUGAUAAUUAAUUGAAAGGUGCAAUUGCACCACUACCAGAUGGACCUGCGUUGUAUUAGCUAGUAGGUGAGGUAACGGCUCACCUAGGCGACGAUACAUAGCCGACCUGAGAGGGGGAACGGCAACACGGGGACGGAGACACGGCCCAAACUCCAACGGGAGGCAGAGGUAGGGAAUCUUCGGAAAUGAACGAAAGUCUGACCGAGAAACGCCGCGUGAGUGAAGAAGGUUUUCGGAUCGUAAAGCUUGGUUGAAAGAGAAGAACGGGUGGGAGAGUGGAAGUUCACACUGUGACGGUAUCUUACCAGAAAGGGACGGCUAACUACGUG
RNAcentral lists this ribosomal RNA (504 nucleotides) under uncultured bacterium. RNAcentral describes it as "partial 16S ribosomal RNA". It matches the Rfam family "Bacterial small subunit ribosomal RNA", at positions 28 to 507 of the family's 1533-position model. The record is from RNAcentral.